UACGUAGGUGGCAAGCGUUGUCCGGAUUUACUGGGCGUAAAGAGCGCGCAGGCGGUCGUUCAAGUCGCGUGUGAAAGCCCCCGGCUCAACUGGGGAGGGUCACGCGAUACUGAUCGACUCGAAGGCAGGAGAGGGUAGUGGAAUUCCCGGUGUAGUGGUGAAAUGCGUAGAUAUCGGGAGGAACACCAGUGGCGAAGGCGACUACCUGGCCUGUUCUUGACACUGAGGCGCGAAAGCUAGGGGAGCAAACGGG
This 253-nucleotide ribosomal RNA is filed under the name uncultured bacterium. RNAcentral's name for it is "partial 16S ribosomal RNA". It matches the Rfam family "Bacterial small subunit ribosomal RNA", at positions 524 to 776 of the family's 1533-position model. The record is from RNAcentral.